GACGAACGCUGGCGGCGUGCUUAACACAUGCCAGUCGAACGGAAAGGCCCUGCUUUUGUGGGGUGCUCGAGUGGCGAACGGGUGAGUAACACGUGAGUAACCUGCCCUUGACUUUGGGAUAACUUCAGGAAACUGGGGCUAAUACCGGAUAGCAGCUCCUGCUGCAUGGUGGGGGGUGGAAAGUUUCGGCGGUUGUGGAUGGACUAGCGGGUUAUCGGCUUGUUGGUGGGGUAGUGGUUUACCAAGGCAUUGACGGGUAGCCGGCCUGGGAGGGUGAACGGCCACAUUGGGCCUGAGAUACGGCCCAGACUCCUACGGGAGGCAGCAGGGGGGAAUAUUGCACAAUGGGCGGAAGCCUGAUGCGGCAACGCCGCGUUCGUGAUGACGGCCUUCGGGUUGUAAACCGCUUUCGCCUGUGACGAAGCGGUAGUGACGGUAAUGGGUAAAGAAGCACCGGCUAACUACGUG
This 468-nucleotide ribosomal RNA is filed under the name uncultured bacterium. RNAcentral describes it as "partial 16S ribosomal RNA". It matches the Rfam family "Bacterial small subunit ribosomal RNA", at positions 28 to 507 of the family's 1533-position model. The record is from RNAcentral.